Non-coding RNA from Armatimonadetes bacterium RBG_16_67_12, 75 nucleotides. NCBI's taxonomy places the organism in Bacteria, Bacillati, Armatimonadota. The record is from Rfam.
ACCGCAAAGGGCAAACCCGGAGCGAUUCGGGGACGCAAAGCCACAGGGCCCCUGGGGCCGGCUGGGCUGCCGGUG